AAAAAACGCUAAAUGUACGACAUGGAUUUGUCAUGAAGUUGAAGUUGGUAGCCUCUUUCAACACAUUAAUCAACAAUCAAGAAAAAAAAAUUGUUAGUUUAUUGUAUUUGAUUUCAUAUUAUUAUAAUUCGUCUUUAGCGGUUCAGUUUCAGCCAUUUGUUUCAUAAUAUUAAUAUAUAUUUCUGUGCUUAUCGUGUAGCACUUUGCGUUUGCAGAUUUUGAUCAGUAUCGAAGAACGAAAUUGCAGUGAAAAAGUUAUAAUUAUGUCGUCGAACAUAAUUCACGACGCCGAUGGAUCGGCUUCGCGAAUCGUAUUGAAGGAGCAUACUGGAUCAACUGCAGAGGUGCUUUUUCAGGGUGGUCAAGUUGUUUCUUGGAAGAAUGAACGAAGAGAAGAACUGCUGUUCAGGAGUAAUAAGACCCUGUGGAAACCUCCUAAAGCCUUCAGAGGUGGAAUACCUAUCAGCUUCCCACAGUUUGGAACUUUUGGUUCUUUAGAGAGACAUGGUUUUGCAAGAAAUAGAGUGUGGGAAUUGGACGAUUCUCCUUCUCCUCUACCUGCAGCAAACAAUCAGUCAACUGUUGAUCUCAUUUUGAAAUCUACCGAAGAGGAUCUGAAGACCUGGCCGCAUAGGUUUGAGGUGCGGCUACGCAUUUCUCUCAGUGCUGGCAAGCUGACUUUGAUUCCUCGUGUCAGGAAUAUAGAUAACAAGCCAUUCUCAUUCACAUUCUCUCUGCGUAAUUAUUUAUCUGUGUCUGAUAUCAGUGAAGUGCGGGUUGAGGGCUUGGAGACACUUGACUACUUCGAUAAUUUGCAGCGGGGAGAAAGAUACACAGAGCAGGCAGAUGCAAUUACAUUUGAUAGUGAGACGGAUAGAGUAUAUCUUAGCACACCAACAAAAACUGCCAUAAUAGAUCACGAGAAGAAGAGAACUUAUGUCCUUCAGAAAGAAGGAAUGGCAGAUGCUGUUGUUUGGAAUCCUUGGGACAAAAAG
Molecule: unclassified non-coding RNA, 995 nt
Filed under: Hevea brasiliensis (rubber tree)
Lineage: Eukaryota; Viridiplantae; Streptophyta; Magnoliopsida; Malpighiales; Euphorbiaceae
Source: RNAcentral